UGCACACAAUUACACACAGAGGGAGUCACUGUGCAGCUGUGACGGCUGGACAACACACACACACACACACAGGAGGUGUGUAACGGAUUGAACCCCCCCUCAUAGCUGCGCUGUCUUCGAGGUCGCAGGCGGAUGAGACCACAGCUGCUUGGACAUAAAUUUCCAAAAGGAAUGUCGGAGCACUCGGCAUAAAAACCAAGACUGUGAGUGUGUGUGUGUGUGCAGGAGGAGGAGGAGGAGGAGUGUGUGUGUGCAGGAGGAGGAGUUAGUGUGUGUAGGAGAAGGAGUGUGUGUGUGUGUGCAGGAGGAGAUGUGUGUGUGUAGGAGAAGGAGUGUGUAUGUGUGUGUGUAGGAGAAGGAGUGUGUGUGUGUGUGUG
Molecule: long non-coding RNA, 377 nt
Organism: Gasterosteus aculeatus aculeatus (three-spined stickleback)
Lineage: Eukaryota; Metazoa; Chordata; Actinopteri; Perciformes; Gasterosteidae
Source: Ensembl